Non-coding RNA from Vicugna pacos (alpaca), 98 nucleotides. The record is from RefSeq and is a predicted model, not a curated record. NCBI's taxonomy places the organism in Eukaryota, Metazoa, Chordata, Mammalia, Artiodactyla, Camelidae.
CAAACACUCUGAAAACAUGAGUUCACUCAACACAACAAUAUUCACUAAUUAAAAACCCUUGGUGAUAUUCUGUAAUUUAGAUCCGAAGAGCACAGUCU